This 508-nucleotide ribosomal RNA is filed under the name uncultured Serratia sp. Its description in RNAcentral is "bacterial SSU rRNA". It matches the Rfam family "Bacterial small subunit ribosomal RNA", at positions 889 to 1396 of the family's 1533-position model. The record is from RNAcentral. Lineage: Bacteria; Pseudomonadati; Pseudomonadota; Gammaproteobacteria; Enterobacterales; Yersiniaceae.
CAAGGUUAAAACUCAAAUGAAUUGACGGGGGCCCGCACAAGCGGUGGAGCAUGUGGUUUAAUUCGAUGCAACGCGAAGAACCUUACCUACUCUUGACAUCCAGAGAAUUCGCUAGAGAUAGCUUAGUGCCUUCGGGAACUCUGAGACAGGUGCUGCAUGGCUGUCGUCAGCUCGUGUUGUGAAAUGUUGGGUUAAGUCCCGCAACGAGCGCAACCCUUAUCCUUUGUUGCCAGCACGUAAUGGUGGGAACUCAAAGGAGACUGCCGGUGAUAAACCGGAGGAAGGUGGGGAUGACGUCAAGUCAUCAUGGCCCUUACGAGUAGGGCUACACACGUGCUGCAAUGGCGUAUACAAAGAGAAGCGAACUCGCGAGAGCCAGCGGACCUCAUAAAGUACGUCGUAGUCCGGAUCGGAGUCUGCAACUCGACUCCGUGAAGUCGGAAUCGCUAGUAAUCGUAGAUCAGAAUGCUACGGUGAAUACGUUCCCGGGCCUUGUACACACCGCCCG